CCUACGGGAGGCAGCAGUAAGGAAUAUUGGUCAAUGGACGAAAGUCUGAACCAGCCAUGCCGCGUGAAGGAUGAAGGCCCUCUGGGUUGUAAACUUCUUUUAUCUGGGACGAAAAAGCUCAUUCUUGAGCACUUGACGGUACCAGAGGAAUAAGCACCGGCUAACUCCGUGCCAGCAGCCGCGGUAAUACGGAGGGUGCAAGCGUUAUCCGGAUUCACUGGGUUUAAAGGGUGCGUAGGUGGGUCUGUAAGUCAGUGGUGAAAUCUCCGGGCUUAACUCGGAAACUGCCAUUGAUACUAUAGGUCUUGAAUCAUCUGGAGGUAAGCGGAAUAUGUCAUGUAGCGGUGAAAUGCUUAGAUAUGACAUAGAACACCAAUUGCGAAGGCAGCUUACUACGGGUGUAUUGACACUGAGGCACGAAAGCGUGGGGAUCAAACAGGAUUAGAUACCCUGGUAGUCCACGCCCUAAACGAUGGAUACUCGACAUCAGCGAUACACUGUUGGUGUCUGAGCGAAAGCAUUAAGUAUCCCACCUGGAAGUACGACCGCAAGGUUGAAACGUCAAAUGAAAUUGACGG
Molecule: ribosomal RNA, 578 nt
Filed under: uncultured bacterium
Lineage: Bacteria
Description: bacterial SSU rRNA
Rfam family: Bacterial small subunit ribosomal RNA
Source: RNAcentral